Molecule: ribosomal RNA, 381 nt
Filed under: uncultured eukaryote
Lineage: Eukaryota
Description: SSU rRNA
Rfam family: Eukaryotic small subunit ribosomal RNA
Source: RNAcentral
AGCUCCAAUAGCGUAUAUUAAAGUUGUUGUGGUUAAAAAGCUCGUAGUUGGAUCUCGGCAGUCUGAGGUUGGUGUACUUGCUAGUACUACUGCCCUAUAGACUGUAGUUUUGCCAGAGGUGCCCGGGUGCUCUUAAUCGAGUGUCCUGGUAUGCUGGCAGGUUUGCUUUGAAAAAAUUAGAGUGUUCAAAGCAGGCUUAUGCCUUUGAAUAUAUUAGCAUGGAAUAAUGAUAUAGGACUUUGGUACUAUUUUGUUGGUUUGUGCACUAAAGUAAUGAUUAAUAGGGACAGUCGGGGGCAUUUGUAUUCAAACGACAGAGGUGAAAUUCUUGGACCGUUUGAAGACAAACUACUGCGAAAGCAUUUGCCAAGAAUGUUUUCA